GCCGCAGAUGACAACAAAACAUCACCACUAUAGUGAAGAAAGUGCGGUACAAACGAACGAGAAGGAUACGGGAUGGACACGGCCAGUGUGCGAACGGUUGGUGGAAACAGGUCAUUUAUUUUGUCGCUAUUUUAUCGUACUACUCGACAAAUGUUGAGGCUUAGCUGGCUAUAAGUAUUCUAAACAUCACCACGAAUUGACAAGGAAAAAUGGUAUCCGAUCACAAGACACUGUAGUCUAGUGCUGGAAACAAAACUAGUGUACUGGGUUCGUGAUUGUGCUAGAAACCCGACAGAAAGAAGACGCUAGAUCGAAACGAACGAAACGAGUUUUGCGAGUUUGCGAAACGGCUAACUGUCCUGCGAACUCCACCUGGUCGAAUGGGCACACGCAGACAAAGCAAAGAGCAGCAAAAAAAAUCACAAAUCUCUUCAGCAGUAAUACAUCCAUAGGCUAGCUCAUUUCCAGAAGGAAGAAGGGCACACUGCUUUCCACCACCAAUGGUGAAAAAAGGCACAGUAAACUACUCGCCCAUUCCACGCCUUAGCAGCGCAUCCCGCUUGCAAACGCACACGGAAACCAAAAGUACGAAGCAGCGAUUGUGCAAUAAAACGAAGAUGGUUGGCCAACCAGCUUUUAAGGCAACACGCAACGAAGCAGUUAAAAAGGCAACAACGAAAAUAAAAGUUUCGCAUGCUGUAGUAACGAGCCGCAAGAUCGCAAGAAGUUGGCAGCUCAAGUUCAAAGUCAAACUGUGCGAAACGUGCAAUGUGCAAAAGUGGAGAAAAAAAAGUCGCAAUGAAAUAUAAGCAAAUAGCAAAAAAGAAAAAACAAAACAAAAGAAACGGAAAAAAGUAGAAUAUUUCGCACAUUGCAUGCUACAAGUCGAUCCGAACAAGACAACAAAAGCAAAUGUUGAUUUAAGCGAGAAAAGAUAUCGCAACGGAGCAACGGCAAAGGAGUGUGAAUCAAAAGUGCGAUAAAGUGAAAUCAAAAGAAACCACCAGCAGCAGCGAAAUGGGUACAACAGACUGUAGAAGUAAAAUGGACAUGAAGAUGCGCAGCAGCACACACAUGUGUAGGGAAAAUGGAAAGUAAGAACACAAAAAAACCCGCGAAAGAGCGAAAGCAGAGAAGAAUUAUAAUCAGAAAAUAAACGUAAGUCUUACGUAAUAUCCUCCAGUGAGAAGAGAAUUUGUAGCUUUUGUAGAAUUGGUAGAGAUCGUGCAUUUUUUUUCCAAGAUUAAUGAUAGAUAGCUCAUAUUACACAGCUGCUAUAUUAGCACAAUUUCGCUUACUUUAAAAAGUGCAUCCAUUUUACUUUAAUGUUGUUUAUUGUGAUCCUUUCUAAAUAGAUCGCUAUAUCUUUAUAAUAUUCUCCAACACUUUAUGCAACUUGUAUAGACAAAACCCUAAAACUAAACAUAGUAAAAUUGCUCUAGAACCUUAAAAUAAAACAGUAACACGAUCCACACUAAUGUAUGCCAUAAUCGACGAUCGGUCUGAUGUGCUCAAAAACGUAAAAAGUGUUAUUUUGAUAAACCGGUUUUGUAGGGACGAAAUGCCGGGUUUCUCGCCAGUUUUAAGCGUUUGAUCGUUCAUUGGCGGCACGAUUCGCACACACUAAGGUCGACUCACCAUUCCUACAAUCGGCCUGUUAUGCAACGGCUCUGUAUGAGAAAACCAGUUCCAACCCUCAUUAUCACCGCCCCCCCACCCCAACCAGUAGGGAGUCAAAUUUUAAGAUUCUAAGACCGGAACGGUUCGGGGUGCGACACGCAAAUUGUGCAAAAAGCGAAAAGAAAAGGAAGAAGACGACGACAAAAAAACAACAAAACUCCCCUUCUUCGAUUUCGUGACGCUGGGUUAGAACGAAACUGUUUCGUCAAAAGAAGCUUUGCGUUCUGUCGUGCGUGCAGUUACCGGCUGGAACGGACGUUUAUUGUUUAUUUGCAAAUAAAAAAAAGGUAUGUUCGUUCUGCAGUCAAACCUUUAUUUUGUUUGGAGGGGAAUUUUUUUUACGAAACGGAAUAAUAACAAUACUGAAAAGAGUAACUCAUUUUGGAUAGGGCAAUUAUGGGAUCAAGUUGAAUGUCAUACGAAUGUUUGCUAAUCACGCAAGAUCGUUUUUAAAUGAUCUCUUCUUCUCAUAAUUUGUUCAUUGCGGUUGGUUCAAAAAGCUCAAGAUAUUCAUCCAAAAAUUCCAAAAUAUUUUUUUUUUAGCGUACGAAACGGCCAAGCCAUUUUCUAGAAAAUGUCUGAAAUCUGAAAUCUUUCACACUACAUCGAGCGGGAGAAAUGCAAUGUCGUUUCUAUUAUGCAUUUUUGCAUUUAAUAUUCCUGUUCUCAUCGUUUGUGUGUUUGUGUGUGUGUGGGAGGGGGGAUGGGUUUUGUCAUUAACGUCGAUAAUUAGAUCAUACGUGUGAGACGGUGGACUGAGGAGGAGACACGCUUGUACUAACCAUGGCGUGUUGUUAUAUCGUCGAUCGAUUGCACAUAUCGCUGUACCGCGCUGUGUAGUUGUGUAAUGGGUCAACUAUUACUACUACACUACUACUACUCGUACCUACUACCACCACUACUGGCAAAGGCCAAAAACAAAAUGGAACCCAUCUUCAUCAUCAUCAUCAUCUGCAGUAGCAGCAGCAGCAGCAGCAGCAUGCAAUACCUUUUAUCAGGAGCACCAUUUCUUUCAUAAUUCAGAGCGAUUGAAACGGACGUGUUUGUACCUGUCUCCCAUAUUUUGUACUGCUCACCCACUCACACAUGUGCCAUCUCUGUCUACACGGUCUAUUGCUAUCUCGUUUUUCGUGUAUAUCUUUCACCCUCUAGCAACCCUUCUUUGAUGCCCCAAAAUGUCUUUCAAGAUCGAUUUUUGCAGCGAACGACAAGCACAUGCAGUUGCAAUUGCAUCAUUCAGCCGAACUUGCGGUAGCGCUUUUUUAUAUCAACAACAAAAAUAAAUUCCUGAGCGAACUGCUGGAUUCGGCAGCAAACAAUUGCAUCAUGUUAGGUACAUCCAUUUGUUUGUUUUUUUUUUU
Molecule: long non-coding RNA, 3041 nt
Organism: Anopheles funestus (African malaria mosquito)
Lineage: Eukaryota; Metazoa; Arthropoda; Insecta; Diptera; Culicidae
Exons: 2
Source: RefSeq, a predicted model, not a curated record